Rattus norvegicus (Norway rat) is the source of this 127-nucleotide small nucleolar RNA. Ensembl annotates it as small nucleolar RNA SNORA17. The record is from Ensembl. Lineage: Eukaryota; Metazoa; Chordata; Mammalia; Rodentia; Muridae.
ACUCUCCCUAGAGCCCUUGCAGGCUUGGCUGCUGUGUCACAUGGACGUCAGUAGGGGCAGAGAGGAGAGAGGCUGUCUGUGCUCAGUGUUCUGACCUAUGGCCAUCUGAAUGAUUAACAUUCACUGA